This 594-nucleotide long non-coding RNA is filed under the name Malus domestica (apple). RNAcentral's name for it is "long non-coding RNA (MDOM_LNC017058)". The record is from RNAcentral. Lineage: Eukaryota; Viridiplantae; Streptophyta; Magnoliopsida; Rosales; Rosaceae.
UACUCGGUGUACGAUCCAUUAGGUUCCAAUUAGCGAGGUAGUGGGCGAUUGUUACUCUUAACAAUCGAUUGUGAAUUGAAACCACAUUUCAAUUCUCCCCUAAAAUUAGUGUUUGCUAAUCAUUAGGGCUUCCACAAACCAUGAGUGACACCUAGAAGCAUGGUUACCCAAGCUAAGUAGAAGUGGUUGGAGAACCUUUCGAGUUACAAUUACAAUGCAAUACGGUCCUUCUCUAAUACAAUACUCCUAAUCACAUGUUUGUUUCAUGUCUACUAUCCAAUGUGAUACUUCUCUAUAUGAUUCAAUUGAAUAUGAUUUGGAACAAACUUCCAAAGUUAUAUUCAUAUGAUUUGGCCAAAGACUCUCGAAUCAUAUCUUAGAGUAUUCUCCUUCCACCAUGGAAGGUUAGAGGUCCCUUGUUGUACAUUCAUAUGCCUACAUGACUAGAUAGCUUGACCCCAACAAUGCCGUGGACACUCCAAUGGAAUGCCUUUGACAUGAUCAAAGAUCAAGGACCUAACCAUUAGACAUCUACGAUGCCUCAGGUCAAAUGACUACUUUGCAUAUUGCAACUAUCGAGUUCUUACAUGACAU